Molecule: long non-coding RNA, 714 nt
Organism: Balaenoptera acutorostrata (minke whale)
Lineage: Eukaryota; Metazoa; Chordata; Mammalia; Artiodactyla; Balaenopteridae
Exons: 3
Source: RefSeq, a predicted model, not a curated record
GUUCUUGCCACUGGAACUGAUGUAUGUUACUUCUGGGCCAAGACUGAUGAAGUGCAUGUGAAUUCUCCACACUCUCUUUUCUCCUUCUGUUGGCUGGAUGCAGAGGACUUCAAGCCUAGACACAGAGUUAAACUGAAAAAUCGAAGGCAGAUGUUAAAGAUGAAAACAUGGUGUUGCCCUUCAUAACCGAAAUAGGACCCUCUUCUAUUUCUGAUUACCUUUGAAAUGACAGAAAAAAUAUAUGACUGGAACAAACCUAUCACAGGAAUGACCAUAGGAAGAGAAGAAAUGUCAGAGAAGAAAUGUUGAGGAAUUUCUGGAACAUAUAAGGCAAUCCAUUCAGAACUGAGAUACUCAUGAUACAACACAAGCAAAGGAAGGGACUCCUGGAAAAUUGUAACAUAGGGGGAAUUUUCUAAAAAAGAUGACUUAUCUUUUUUUCUCAGGAUAAAAAUUAAAAGUCACACUGAAUUUGCUUGGUUUAGAAUGUGCUGUUUUGAAAAAAGUGAGUCGGAGAUAAUUUUGUACUGCUUAUCAUAACCUGGUCACAUAAAAUAUUUUGAGUCCUAGUAUUAUUUAAACUUUGCCUCCCUAAGUAAAAUAAAACAGUUGAGCUAAUAAUAUUAAUCAAACUCCUAUUUUUCUGAGUGGGUCUUAGAAGUCAAUGUACCAAUGAAAAACCAGCUUCCAUUAUGACACGUGUGGAGCUUAGAG